GUCUACAGCCAUACCACCCUGAACGCGCCCGAUCUUGUCUGAUCUCGGAAGCUAAGCAGGGUCGGGCCUGGUUAGUACUUGGAUGGGAGACCUAAAACCAUUAAAAUCCUACAAGAAAACCUACGCAAUACC
Ribosomal RNA from Nomascus leucogenys (northern white-cheeked gibbon), 132 nucleotides. The record is from Ensembl. NCBI's taxonomy places the organism in Eukaryota, Metazoa, Chordata, Mammalia, Primates, Hylobatidae.